GAUGAACGCUGGCGGCGUGCCUAAUACAUGCAAGUCGAGCGAACGGACGAGAAGCUUGCUUCUCUGAUGUUAGCGGCGGACGGGUGAGUAACACGUGGAUAACCUACCUAUAAGACUGGGAUAACUUCGGGAAACCGGAGCUAAUACCGGAUAAUAUUUUGAACCGCAUGGUUCAAAAGUGAAAGACGGUCUUGCUGUCACUUAUAGAUGGAUCCGCGCUGCAUUAGCUAGUUGGUAAGGUAACGGCUUACCAAGGCAACGAUGCAUAGCCGACCUGAGAGGGUGAUCGGCCACACUGGAACUGAGACACGGUCCAGACUCCUACGGGAGGCAGCAGUAGGGAAUCUUCCGCAAUGGGCGAAAGCCUGACGGAGCAACGCCGCGUGAGUGAUGAAGGUCUUCGGAUCGUAAAACUCUGUUAUUAGGGAAGAACAUAUGUGUAAGUAACUGUGCACAUCUUGACGGUACCUAAUCAGAAAGCCACGGCUAACUACGUGCCAGCAGCCGCGGUAAUACGUAAGUGGCAAGCGUUAUCCGGGAAUAUUGGGCGUAAAGCGCGCGUAGGCGGUUUUUUAGUCUGAUGUGAAAGCCCGCGGCUCAACCGUGGAGGGUCAUUGGAAACUGGAAAACUUGAGUGCAGAAGAGGAAAGUGGAAUUCCAUGUGUAGCGGUGAAAUGCGCAGAGAUAUGGAGGAACACCAGUGGCGAAGGCGACUUUCUGGUCUGUAACUGACGCUGAUGUGCGAAAGCGUGGGGAUCAAACAGGAUUAGAUACCCUGGUAGUCCACGCCGUAAACGAUGAGUGCUAAGUGUUAGGGGGUUUCCGCCCCUUAGUGCUGCAGCUAACGCAUUAAGCACUCCGCCUGGGGAGUACGACCGCAAGGUUGAAACUCAAAGGAAUUGACGGGGACCCGCACAAGCGGUGGAGCAUGUGGUUUAAUUCGAAGCAACGCGAAGAACCUUACCAAAUCUUGACAUCCUUUGACAACUCUAGAGAUAGAGCUUUCCCCUUCGGGGGACAAAGUGACAGGUGGUGCAUGGUUGUCGUCAGCUCGUGUCGUGAGAUGUUGGGUUAAGUCCCGCAACGAGCGCAACCCUUAAGCUUAGUUGCCAUCAUUAAGUUGGGCACUCUAAGUUGACUGCCGGUGACAAACCGGAGGAAGGUGGGGAUGACGUCAAAUCAUCAUGCCCCUUAUGAUUUGGGCUACACACGUGCUACAAUGGACAAUACAAAGGGCAGCGAAACCGUGAGGUCAAGCAAAUCCCAUAAAGUUGUUCUCAGUUCGGAUUGUAGUCUGCAACUCGACUACAUGAAGCUGGAAUCGCUAGUAAUCGUAGAUCAGCAUGCUACGGUGAAUACGUUCCCGGGUCU
RNAcentral lists this ribosomal RNA (1371 nucleotides) under uncultured bacterium. Its description in RNAcentral is "bacterial SSU rRNA". It matches the Rfam family "Bacterial small subunit ribosomal RNA", at positions 28 to 1381 of the family's 1533-position model. The record is from RNAcentral.